AACGAACGCUGGCGGCGUGGAUUAGGCAUGCAAGUCGAACGCGAAAGAGGGGGUAACUCCUCGAGUAGAGUGGCGAACGGGUGAGUAACACGUGAGAAACCUGCCUUCAGCAGGGGGAUAACACUCCCAACGGGGUGCUAAUACCGCAUGAGACCACGGAUUCGCAUGGAUCUGGGGUCAAAGGUGGCCUCUGCUUGCAAGCUACUGGCUGAAGAUGGUCUCGCGCCCAUUAGCUAGUUGGUGGGGUAAUGGCCUACCAAGGCGACGAUGGGUAGCUGGUCUGAGAGGAUGGUCAGCCACACUGGGACUGAGAUA
RNAcentral lists this ribosomal RNA (315 nucleotides) under uncultured bacterium. RNAcentral describes it as "bacterial SSU rRNA". It matches the Rfam family "Bacterial small subunit ribosomal RNA", at positions 29 to 326 of the family's 1533-position model. The record is from RNAcentral.